Molecule: transfer RNA, 71 nt
Filed under: Thaumetopoea herculeana
Lineage: Eukaryota; Metazoa; Arthropoda; Insecta; Lepidoptera; Notodontidae
Description: transfer RNA-Leu
Source: RNAcentral
ACUAUUUUGGCAGAAAAUUGUAGUGAUUUUAGAAGUCAUAAAUAUAUAGAUUUAUAGAUAUAUAGAUAGUA